GGCUGUGUGUUCUAGUGGAUUAUGAUUUCUCGUUCACAAGCAUGUGUACUUGAUCCCGAGAAGGUCGCAGGUUCGAGCCCUGCCACGGUCA
Transfer RNA from Colletotrichum chlorophyti, 91 nucleotides. It matches the Rfam family "tRNA". From Rfam's summary of the family: Transfer RNA (tRNA) molecules are approximately 80 nucleotides in length. The record is from Rfam. NCBI's taxonomy places the organism in Eukaryota, Fungi, Ascomycota, Sordariomycetes, Glomerellales, Glomerellaceae.